RNAcentral lists this ribosomal RNA (253 nucleotides) under uncultured bacterium. RNAcentral describes it as "partial 16S ribosomal RNA". It matches the Rfam family "Bacterial small subunit ribosomal RNA", at positions 524 to 776 of the family's 1533-position model. The record is from RNAcentral.
UACAGGGGGUGCAAACGUUGCUCGGAAUCAUUGGGCGUAAAGCGAGUGUAGGCGGUUUGGUAAGUCGGAUGUGAAAGCCCUGGGCUCAACCCAGGAAGUGCAUUCGAUACUGUCAAGCUAGAGUAUCGGAGAGGUUGGUGGAAUUCUCGGUGUAGAGGUGAAAUUCGUAGAUAUCGAGAGGAACACCGGUGGCGAAGGCGGCCAACUGGACGAAUACUGACGCUGAGACUCGAAAGCGUGGGUAGCAAACAGG